This 497-nucleotide ribosomal RNA is filed under the name uncultured bacterium. RNAcentral's name for it is "partial 16S ribosomal RNA". It matches the Rfam family "Bacterial small subunit ribosomal RNA", at positions 28 to 507 of the family's 1533-position model. The record is from RNAcentral.
GAUGAACGCUGGCGGCGUGCCUAAUACAUGCAAGUCGAGCGAACAGACGAGGAGCUUGCUCCUCUGACGUUAGCGGCGGACGGGUGAGUAACACGUGGAUAACCUACCUAUAAGUCUGGGAUAACUUCGGGAAACCGGAGCUAAUACCGGAUAAUAUAUUGAACCGCAUGGUUCAAUAGUGAAAGACGGUUUUGCUGUCACUUAUAGAUGGAUCCGCGCCGCAUUAGCUAGUUGGUAAGAUAACGGCUUACCAAGGCAACGAUGCGUAGCCGACCUGAGGGGGUGAUCGGCCACACUGGAACUGAGACACGGUCCAGACUCCUACGGGAGGCAGCAGUAGGGAAUCUUCCGCAAUGGGCGAAAGCUUGACGGAGCAACGCCGCGUGAGUGAUGAAGGUCUUUGGAUCGUAAAACUCUGUUAUUAGGGAAGAACAAAUGUGUAAGUAACUAUGCACGUCUUGACGGUACCUAAUCAGAAAGCCACGGCUAACUACGUG